GCCGCGGUGGCGGAACUGGCAGACGCGCAUGGCUUAGGACCAUGUCCUAACGGGUGGGAGUUCAACUCUCCCCCGCGGCA
RNAcentral lists this transfer RNA (80 nucleotides) under Nitrospinota bacterium. Its description in RNAcentral is "tRNA-Leu". It matches the Rfam family "tRNA". From Rfam's summary of the family: Transfer RNA (tRNA) molecules are approximately 80 nucleotides in length. Their secondary structure includes four short double-helical elements and three loops (D, anti-codon, and T loops). Further hydrogen bonds mediate the characteristic L-shaped molecular structure. tRNAs have two regions of fundamental functional importance: the anti-codon, which is responsible for specific mRNA codon recognition, and the 3' end, to which the tRNAs corresponding amino acid is attached (by aminoacyl-tRNA synthetases). tRNAs cope with the degeneracy of the genetic code in two manners: having more than one tRNA (with a specific anti-codon) for a particular amino acid; and 'wobble' base-pairing, i.e. permitting non-standard base-pairing at the 3rd anti-codon position. The record is from RNAcentral. Lineage: Bacteria; Pseudomonadati; Nitrospinota.